Clonorchis sinensis is the source of this 72-nucleotide transfer RNA. It matches the Rfam family "tRNA". Rfam says of the family: Transfer RNA (tRNA) molecules are approximately 80 nucleotides in length. Their secondary structure includes four short double-helical elements and three loops (D, anti-codon, and T loops). Further hydrogen bonds mediate the characteristic L-shaped molecular structure. tRNAs have two regions of fundamental functional importance: the anti-codon, which is responsible for specific mRNA codon recognition, and the 3' end, to which the tRNAs corresponding amino acid is attached (by aminoacyl-tRNA synthetases). tRNAs cope with the degeneracy of the genetic code in two manners: having more than one tRNA (with a specific anti-codon) for a particular amino acid; and 'wobble' base-pairing, i.e. permitting non-standard base-pairing at the 3rd anti-codon position. The record is from Rfam. Lineage: Eukaryota; Metazoa; Platyhelminthes; Trematoda; Opisthorchiida; Opisthorchiidae.
UCCUCGGUUGUUUAGUGGUGAGUAUCUCCGCCUGUUACGUGGAAGGCCCGGGUUCGAUUCCCGGCCGGGGAG